RNAcentral lists this transfer RNA (71 nucleotides) under Blommersia grandisonae. RNAcentral's name for it is "partial tRNA-Val". It matches the Rfam family "tRNA". From Rfam's summary of the family: Transfer RNA (tRNA) molecules are approximately 80 nucleotides in length. Their secondary structure includes four short double-helical elements and three loops (D, anti-codon, and T loops). Lineage: Eukaryota; Metazoa; Chordata; Amphibia; Anura; Mantellidae. The record is from RNAcentral.
CAAGAUGUAGCUUAAACUAAAGCCUUUCGCUUACACCGAAAAAACAUUUGUUCAACUCAAAUCAUCUUGAG